AUUUUAUAAUUUGCUGUCACCAGUGUGGCAAGUUUUAGCUUCUAAUCACAAGAAAAUUUUUGCCUAUUUAACUCUUCUGAUCAGAAAGAAUUUUUAAGAUCCUAUAGUUUAUUCUUCUACAAUUUUAUUAGAAAAGUAUUUUAGAUUAUCUCAGUAUUUAGUAAUUUCUUUAAUCCUACCUGCCUUUAAAGUCUAGUGUCCUCCAUGGUUUCAUUCUCUACUCUUGUAGUCUCACUUCUCACCCCUGGUCUUGAACUUCACAAUCUCCUAGGAAGCUAGUUAAAAAUAAGGAUUCCCAUGCCCCAACCCAAAGAUUCCAAUUCUGAUGAUGGACGAGAGCCCACUCAUUUGACAUCUUUUUUGCUUUUUGUUGUUGUUGUUGUUGUUGUUGUCCUUUUAAACAUUAGUGUCAUCUCCAUAUCUUUUAACAAUUAUCCCUAGAUGUAGCAAGGUACACCCUGAGAAACAGUGCUUGAGCCACCUUCCCUGGAAGGUCUAUUGACUACUCAUCCAGUGAAGGAAAGUAUCUUGUGUCCAAUAAUUUUUAUAGCUGCUGAUUCUCAAUUUCAGACCAGCUCUCCAUCUAUUUAUAUUUGUUCCAAAUGUUGCUCCUCAUUCAGAAAUUCCUGGUUCAGAUGGAUGACUCCAACAUCCAUGUUGCCAUAGCCAGAAAGCCACAGACAUCCAAUCUUCCUUCCUUUUACCUCUCUCCUCUAGUCCUCACCUAUAGACCCUGAAUGUUGACCCCUAUAUAUUCCCAAUAUAUGGUUAUUACCAUGGGCCCCAUAUUCUUCAUUUCUCUUAGGCUACUGUAAUAGUCCCUGAGUCAAUUUGCCAGCACCCUUCCAAGACCCCUCAUGAAGCUACCAGAGUGAUCUUUCCCUUUCAGGAUAAAAUUCCAGCACCUUAGUAUGAUAUAAAGAAGCCCUUCAUGAGCUGGCUUCUUCCAGCCUCUCUGAACCAACUCCCUGCAACCCUCUCUCCCCCAUGCCAGUCAUACAGAACUACUGGCUAUCCUGUUAACUUCUUGUAACUCUUCAAACAUUGCACUCUCUUGUGAAAAAUCCAUUUUCCUAGCUAACUGCAUUCCUCCUCAACUUUCAAGCCUCUGCUCAGGAAUGACCUACUCUAACGACCCAUUCCUUCCAAGCCAUCACUUGCCUCUCCCAACAGUCAUAUUAAAUUUCCAUUUCAAAAUAUUUAGUUAUUACACUGUGUUGUGCUCAUCUACUUGCCAACCUCCCACUUUGGACUGCUGUGUCUGUUUUUCAUAUCAGUAUAUCUAACCUACACAGUGUCUACAAAGCAGACAGUAAAUGUUAUCUGAAUGAAAGAAUCACCGAAUGAGUUUCUAGUUCAUGAGAAUAUUUUCUUUUGUUUUAACCAUGGAAAAAUACAACACAUUCAGUACACAAAAUGAACCAGUCCUGCAGUUCAAUACUUUGAAAAUAACAGGAUUUCUUACAACCAUUUUCAUCUUCCUUCCAAAGCUCAUCACUGUAUUUAUGAGCACGAAUCUAUGUGUGGAGAAAUCCUGGACUACCACCGAGUCAAACGUUCCUUUUUUAGUUUGUUUUGUUUUAAGCCAGGGAUUCCUCCCCAACAGGAGGUUUAGACCUGCCACAGUCCAAUCCAGUAGCCAUUAGCUACAGGUGACUACUUCAAUUUAAAUCAAUUAAAAUUAAGUAAAAUUAAAAAUUCAGUUCCUCAGUUGCACUAGCCACGCUUCAAGUGUCUAAAGCCCAAAAAGCCAUAGGUGGCUGGUGGCUCUGACACCAGACAGUGCGGAUGCAGAACAUUUUCAUCAGUUCUACGGACAGAGCUGGAGACACAAUCAUAGAAAGACCUCAAGAACCUCACUUAUUUCUUUGCUCCCACUAUUUUGGCGCUCCUCUGCUGCUUAAAGGACGUGGGUCCCGGGGUCUAGCAAAUCACAAGCAUACGAGUGAGUGCUAGGGUAUCUGAUCCUCGACCACAAAGAGAUGAAUCCCCCUUGUGCCCGGAAGAAAUGAAGCUCUCCCUGGGCGACUAUCUCAAAUGGAAGGCAACACUUCUGAGGAAAACUAUGCCAUCCUACUUUCAUAAAAUGUAAAGACAAUACCUUCCCCUAUUCUAAAAAUCCAGCCCCAGGGAGGCUCUAAAAGGGAGAAAAAAGAAAACAGAUAUGAGGGGCAUUUGAGGACAUAAAAGGAACCAAAACUCUUUGCACUCCACCAAGAAGUGAGUCUAAGAAGGUGGGGAAUGGGGAAAAAGUGGGAAAAAAGGGACAGGUGGAUCUGAUCUAAAAGGCUGGGGCCUACAACAGGGUCUAAUAAAACCGACUCUGAGCAAGGGACAAAGCAAGGAGCUGCGUGUUUCCAGCUGGACAGCGCUACCUCUAAAGCAUGAGUCAUGCCAAGAAACUCACAGCGGGGACUGCACCGAGUCUGGAAGACAUCACUGUUAGGUAUUUCUGAGCCCCCACAAAGCAAGCCCCCUCCUCCCCCUUUCCCCAUGCCCAGAGAACAGGGAACUUCUGCACAACUAAGGCAUAACCUCUCUUUGUCAAUGACUUUCUGCCUCGUUAGGGACUUUCUGCCCCACCGGUUUCAUGGUCAGAUGUUCCCGUAAGAUAGAGACUUCCCGAAAACGGUUACUCCAUCCCCCAACGGAAACUUGCUACAUGCCUCAGCCGCAAUCACCCAUGCCCACCAACGGACUAGUGCUCUCACCUACAAAACCCCAUGUAAGCCUCCAGAUCAGCUCAUGCUGCUGCUGGUUUCCCUUUUGUGUCAGCCCUGCAGGCUACAGACUGCUGCCCCAAUAAAGGCUUGCUGCUUGAACAUCUGUGUGUGCCCCUUCUUCAGACACCCUUUCAAUCACUCCCUCUCCAUGCCUAACAAUUUCACCCAAGGGCUCCUUCCAGACCAACGCCACUUCCGCUCUCCUCUGCUCUCCAGGAUGCAGACUCAGGGCCACGUAGCCCAGGUCUGAAGGUUUACUUCCUCCUAGCGGCUUCCAAGGGGGCUGCUGGGGGGGGGGGCCACGGGGUGGCAGUCACGUGACGACUCAGUGUCUGCAGAGACCCCGCCCCCCGUUGCGCCAUGGGACCAGGAGAGGGAGAGGUGGAGCAAAGAGGCGGCAGGUGGAGACGCCGCCUGAGAACCCAGGCCCUGUGUCCCUCCCUUCACCCACCCCACAGGUGGUCUUGUAGAGGCACAGAGAUCAAUUCCCCCUUUAUUGAUACUAGAAAUUACAGACUCAUGCUCGCUCCCCUCCCCACAGUUAAAGAGGUGUCAAAGGUCUUUCAUUGUCGAGGAGGCGGGAAUUGAAGGCAAUGGCUGUGGAGGAAAAAAGCCAGGAAAGGGGAGCUACAUAAGGGGUGAAGGGAGACAUCUAUAAUCUGCCCUGCUUUUGAAUUUUUUUAGUGGUGUCCCUAGGAGACACGUUUGAGUAACUUGAGAUCUUUAGGCAGACUAUGUCUGGGCCUCUCCUUAGGGGAACUGUCCUUGAGCCUCUCUUCAGAGUGGCUGUGAUGAGUUUUCUCAGUGCGAUGGUGUUGGCUCCUUUCUGAGCAGCUGUGUAAGACCUAGGUGAAACUUAGCACAAGUAACACCAUCUUGUUACAAACCCUCCAUCUUGUCCCUGUGGGUCUCGGGUUCACUAAAGGACACAGAGUUCCCAGAAUGUGCUUGUUUAUCUGUUAAGACACCAUGGAAUGUACCAUUGUUUCUGUGUAAAGAACAUCCUGUUAGAUAAGUAAAGAACAUCUGCAAACUCCCCUAACUGUCCCCUAACUGCAAAAAUUCCACUUUUGUAGUUCUGCUUGCUAAGCCUCCCUGCAGCCUCUAUAAAACCUUCCAACCCCCUGAGCUCGGGGCCUCUCUAAGCUUGUUGCUUGGAGGGUGCCAUCUGGCCAGACUAAUAAAGGUCUGUUUUUUACUAUCUCAAUCUGUCUGGUUUGUUUCCUCCCGGGUGAUCCUCACUGCAGUCAGCUCCUCGGAGCAUUUGGUAAGGCCCUUCAUCUUAUAUUUUGGAGGCCCCAGCGAGAUCCCUGGGUAGGAACCCCGGUUUGGCCAAGAUUCUGUGGCGGGAUCCAGCAGGAGACUCUCGGGCACUGACCUCAGAAAACCUCCGGAGGUAAGCUUUUGGCCAGUUGCAACCAUUUGUUAGGUCAGGAGUGAAGUGGCUGAUGAGCCAGGAAGCCUCCCCUGACCCCGAGGUUCCUGACGAGGAACAAGGGAAGGUUUAGUUUCAUUUUGUUGUGCUGCCCAUUUGUCUCAUCUUUUAUGUGUUAGCGUUGUGUCUGUUGUGUGUCUGAUUUUACAUUCUUUUCAAUCCUCAUCAGGAGCAGAGUGAUGAGAGGAUCCUGUUCUACCGGGUCCCCUCCGCUUGACUGUUUUCUGACUAAUUUUAAAUUGGCCUUCUCUCCAGAACAACCAGAUGAAUAUGGGGUGAAGUUUUCUUGCAGAAGACUCUGCUCCCUGUGCCAACUGGAAUGGCCAGUCUUCGGGGUGGGAUGGCCAGCCGAAGGGACUUUUGACCCCAGUAUUUGCCGGAAGGUGUGGGGCAAAGUCACCAGUUGCCCCAGCCACCCAGAGCAAUUUCCCUACAUAGACAUCUGGGUUCAGGCUUGAGGAACCCCUGGCUUGGCUGCAGCGCUGUUCCCUUCAAACAGACACUCGCAUUUUAGUCGUUGCCCUGAAAGGACCCCGGGGACUUAAGACCCAGGCUCCCAAGCCAGUACUCUCACAGGAACCUGACCCCCUAGACCCCUUGGGAGGCCCUCCACCCUAUGUGGAAUCCUCCACCUCCUCAGAUGGACCCCACUCUAGACCCCGAAAUCCUUUCCUUCCUCCGUCUGUUCAAUCUUUGGCUCCUACCUCUCUCUAUCCUCCUCUCCCUGAGGGGCCCCAGUCCCCAGACUCUGUGACUUCUCCCCCACAUACAUGAGCUGGGGCUGCGUAUGGACCUAGCAAGGUCCCCACUGAGGGAACUAGCUCGGCCCCUCUCUUGCCCCUUCGGGAGACAGAGCAAGGUCACUAUGUUUAUAUCCCAUUUACUACGAGCGACUUAUACAAUUGGAAACAUCAGAAUCCUCCUUUUUUAGAAAAACCCCAAGCUUUAAUCUCUCUCCUGGAGUCUGUCUUUCAUACCCAUGAUCCUACUUGGGAUGAUUGCCAACAACUCCUCCAGGCCCUUUUUACCUCAGAGGAGAGGGAAAGAAUCUGGGGACAAGUGGUCAGGUCGGUACUAGGCGGAGCAGAAGGCCCCUUAGGUGAGCAGCAGCAGGCCUGUAUUGAAGCACAACUCCCAUCCACCCGACCCCGCUGGCAAGCUAACACCUCAGGCGGGAGAGAAGCUCUCCAGAACUGUCAGCAUCUCCUGGCCGGCCUGAGGGGAGCCACUCAGAAGCCUACCAAUUUGAGCAAGUAUGUAGAUGACCUCCUGGUGGCGACUUCAACCGAUGAAGAGUGUCUUGCGGCCACUGAGGGCCUACUGGAAGCCCUCCAAAGACCUGGGAUAUCGGGUGUCCUGGAAGAAAGCUCAGCUCUACCAGACCAAGGUUCGACUCCAAGACCCUGGAACCCCAUUGGAAGGGACUGUUUCCCAUUGUCCUGGUGACUCCCUCAGCAGUAAAGAUAGCUGGACACUCUGCCUGGAUCCACCACAGCCAUUUGAAGGCGGCACCUCCUGAGGAAGCAUCAACAUGGCAGAUCAACUGGAACAAAAAGGACACUCUCAAGGACCUUGUGCUUAUGAGGCGGGCAGCGGCACCACUGAGCUAAAUCUCUGGCCCAAGAGGGGUAGCUUCAGCUUCCUCUUUAGAGGCUGGGAUAACCUUGAUUCUGAAAUCUGGCAAAGACAUUACCAGAAAGGAAAAUAACAGGUCCGUCUCUUUCAUGGACAUAGACACAAAAUCCCAAAUAAAAUAGCAAACUAAAUUCAGUGAUAUAUAUUUUAAAAAUCA
Molecule: long non-coding RNA, 5950 nt
Organism: Heterocephalus glaber (naked mole-rat)
Lineage: Eukaryota; Metazoa; Chordata; Mammalia; Rodentia; Bathyergidae
Source: RefSeq, a predicted model, not a curated record